UACAGAGACUGCAAGCGUUGUUCGGAAUCACUGGGCGUAAAGGGAGCGUAGGCGGCGUGGUAAGUCAGAUGUGAAAUCCCGGGGCUCAACCCCGGAACUGCAUCCGAUACUGCCAUGCUAGAGGAUUGGAGAGGUAGCUGGAAUUCUUGGUGUAGCAGUGAAAUGCGUAGAGAUCAAGAGGAACACUCGUGGCGAAAGCGAGCUACUGGACAAUUCCUGACGCUGAGGCUCGAAGGCUAGGGUAGCGAAAGGG
This 253-nucleotide ribosomal RNA is filed under the name uncultured bacterium. RNAcentral's name for it is "partial 16S ribosomal RNA". It matches the Rfam family "Bacterial small subunit ribosomal RNA", at positions 524 to 776 of the family's 1533-position model. The record is from RNAcentral.